UCUUUGGUUAAACUUUUAGGAAAAAAGUCUGAGCCGCUUUUAAUUUUCUUUCUGUUUUUAAAUAAAUUAUUAGAGAUAAAGUUUCUCUCUAUUAGGAACUCUGUGUACAUGAGUUCAUUGAGCUUAUUCUUAAUAAAGACAAAUCUUCCAGAAAUAAUAGUUGUUAACUUUAAGUGAUCUCAAGAAAAGGAAAAUUUUUAGUUUCUCUGGGGAAUGAAUUUUCAUGACCUAAUCUUAAAUCAGGUUAUUUCUUCUAGCCUGUUUACUAAAUUUCUACAUGUUGUAACCUAAUGAAAUUUUCUUACCUCCUCUUUAUUUAAAACAAACGAUAAUUACUGUCUUUUAAAAAAUCUUCCAAUGUAAUGUUCUUAUUUUUCUUAACACAUUAAUUUUCCUGGGCCAAAUUGUGUUACUAUGAUCCACAUUAAGGCUGUUAUAUAAUACAAUAAAAUUGUAGAACUUUCAUACCUUGAAGGAUCUUAGCAAUUAUUUAAUUCAAACCCAUUCUAACAUAGAUGAUAAAACAGAUUUGCAGAGUUGGGUGACUCAUACCUGUAAUCCCAGCACUUUGGGAGACUCAAGCGGGAAGAUUGCUUGAGCCCAGGAGUUCAAGACCAGCUUGGGCAACAUAGUGAGACGCUGUCUCUACAAAAAAAAAACUUAAAAAAUAGCCGGGCAUGGUGUCACAUGCCUGUAGUUCUAGCUACUUGGGAGGCUGAGGUGGGAGGAUUGCCAGAGCCUGGAGGUUGAGGCUGCAGUGAACCAUGAUUAUACCACAGCACUCUAGCCUGGGCAACAGAUCGAGACCUUGUUUCACAAAAUAAAACAAAACAAACAGAUCUACAAAGAUCAACUUGUUCUAAGUCAUAUAAUCUUUUUGUGUAAUAACUAAAAACCACAUCUUCUAACCUCAAACCUGGUAUUUUUUUCUACGAAAUUAUGUUCUACAGUCCAAAUUAUUUUUCUUUAUUAUUUUGAAUCCUAAAGUAGAAAUAGAAACUUAGAAAAAUAAAAAGCAACUCCUUUAUAAUAUAUGAGGACUUUUUCAGUUUUAAAUCAGAAAAACCCAACUCAAGGUAGCUUAAAUAAAAGGACUUACAUAACCUAAAAGCUCUGGCCUGGAUCUAGGUGCUCAACAGAUCUCAAGAGUAUCUCAUUCUCUCUUCCUCCCUUACCCUUCUCCUCCUUUCUCUCUUCUGUAUAUAUGUUAUUUUCAAACAGGCUGUAACAAGUAGUGGCGAGAUAUAGUUCCUAAUAGCUUCAAGUUUGCAUUCUACCUACUUUAGCAACUAUGAUGGGAAGAGAGCUACAAUUUGAGCAAAAAUUUAUAGGGUGAGUUCUGAUUUCCCUGGAUCGAGGCACAUACCUAUUCCUGAACCAAAUAUUCUGGCCAGGGAAUGGAAUUCUCUGGGACAUGUAUCUAAAGCUGAAGUAUAGAGCCUGCCACACAGGGAUAAUAAUAGUUUUCCAAAGAAAAAUCGAGGAGGGGAAAGAAUGUUGGAAAGAGAAAAAAAUAUCAGUUGUCUGCUUCACAUUUAUUCUCAAUAAUUAGUUUCAUAUAAGUGAAAUACUGUAACACCCUAAACUUCAGAGAUUCUUCAUAGACAGAAAAAAUAAGAGCUCAAAGAAGUUGUGACUUCGUUCAAAUCACAUAGUUUCUAUACAUGCUAUUAGUAAAACCCAGGACAGCUGAGUACAAGUUUUACCCUUAUAUUCACAUUGAGGUCCAGAUCCUGGUUUUGAAUGAGAUAAUUAUGUGCAGUAGGACUGUUUUCUGAUCCUUAAAAUAGAGACAAUGAUAUCUAUCUUGUAAAGUUGUGGUAGUGUUAAAGAUAUAUAAAAUGAUGGCAAGUACCUUAAUAUACGAAAAGCUGCUGUAUGUUGUCAUUGUAAUAAUAGCCAUGUUUCUUCCUUUAUUGAAUUGCUUUCCUAUAGUAAUCUUACUGUGAUCAUCCUGAAACAUAGAUUUCCGAGCUUCAAGCAAACACUAUUAUGUUGAAACAUCUACAUUAUUUCUAAGUUUAGCAGUGCCGGUGGAAAGUUUACUGAAAUAGAAAAUUGCUUUUUUAACUGAGGAAUGUAGAUUAUAAAUUCAUGAUUCAUCUUCUCAGAAGAUGAUCGGAGUAUUGAUAAAUAUUGAUGCAUAGAAUAUGAACAAAACAUUACAUAUCUUGUGCUGUGAUAUUAAAGUAGUAUUCUGUUCUGGUGGUAGUAUGGCAGUAUUUUAGGUCUGAAAGAUGUAUAUAAUCUGUACUUUUAAAUGUGUUUUUUAAGAGAUUAAUCACAAGAGAUUUACAUAAAACUAAGGUUAAAAAUUAAUGGUGGAUUGGAGAUACAUCAGGCAAAUUUCAGUUUCAAAAGCAGAUGACAGAAUCUCAGUAUCAGAGUAGCAUUUAAAGCAAAAAGCAUUAAACUGGAUCAGAAAUGUCAUUUUACAUUAACGCAGGGUAUAUACUCCAGGUAAAGACUUAGCAGUUAUGAACCAGUGUGCUAAACAUAACAUCAAAAUGUAUUAAGCAAAAGCUGAAAAAAAUGAAGAAUAAUUGGUAGAAAAGCAAUGAUAGGAAUCUUUAUGGUACUUCAGAACUUACAAAGAAAGAAGAUACAGUCAUGUGCCACAUAAUGAUGUUUGAGUCAACGCCUGACAAUGGUCCUGUAAAAUUAAAAUGGAACUAAAAAGUUUCUAUUACUUAGUGAUGUUGAAACCGUUGCAAUGCAAUGUAUCACUGACAUGUUCGUGGUAAUGCUGGUGUAAGGAAACUACUGUACUGUCAGUUGUAUAAAAGCAUAGCACAGUUAUGUUCAGCACGUAAUACUUUAUAAUGAUAAACGAAUAUGUUACUAGUUACAUGUUUGCAGUACUAUUUUAUUAUUUUAACAUGUGCUUCUGCUUAUUAAAAAAUGUUAACUAUAAAAUAAUCUUUAGGCAGAUCCUACAGCAGGUAUUCCAGAAAACGGCGUUGUUGUCAUAGGAGAUGUCAGCUCCAUGGGUGUUAUUUCCCCUUAAGACCUUCCAGUGGGACAAGAUGUAUAGGUGGAAGACAGUGAUAUUGAUGAUCCUGACUUGUAGAGGCCAAGGCUAAAGUAUGUGUGUAUUUAUUAGUUUUUAACAAGAGUUUAAAAAGUAAAAAAAAAAAAUUAAAAAAUAGAAAAAAUCUUACAGAAUAAGGAUACAAAGAAAAAAUGUUUUUGUGUAGCUGUGUAAUGUUUUUAAGUUAAAUGUUACAAAAGAGUCAGAGUUAAAUUUUUGUAUGUUUAUAAAGUGAAAAGUUAUAAAAUGCUAAGGUUAAUUUACUGAAGAAAGAAAAAAUUUUAAAAUAGAUUUAGAGUAGCAUGUUUAUAAAAUCUACAGUAGUACACAGUAAUAUCCUAGGCCUUCACAUUAACUCACCACUCACCCACUGACUCACCCAGAGCAGCUUCCAGUCCUGCAAGCUCCAUUCGUGGUAAGUGCCCUAUACAGGUGUACUGUUUUUAUGUCCUUUAUACCAUUUUUACUGAACCUUUUCUAUCUUUUAGAUACACAGAUACCAUUGUGUUACAGUUGCCUAUGAUAUUGAAUACAGUAACUUACUAAACAGGUUUGUAGCUCAGGAGCUGUAUCAUAUAGCCUGGGUGUGUAGUGAACUAUACCAUCUAGGCUUGUAUAAGUAUAUUAUAUGAUACGGUGAUGAAAUCACCCAGAUGCAGUUUCUCUUAAGCAACAUAUAACUGUAGAUAUAUAGGUGGCUUGAAUAAUAAAAUAAUGAAAUGUAUUUUUUUCUGUCAUGAACAUUACCAAUCUUACAAAUUAGACCAACUACAAAACAAAAUCUCACUCGAAAAUAAAAAUAUAUAAGUCCCAUUUCUUGAUUACAAUUCAUUAGAACUGGAAUUUUUUUUAAUGUUUAAAUUUAUAUGGAAAUAUAAAAUCAUGUUUUAAAUAAUUUUUGAUUCAAUGAGGAAAUGUAAAUUUACAUUAGAAAUCAAGAUUAAUAACAAGUAGAGAUUUAUAAAGGCAAAAAUGUUAAUGAAUUAGGAAACAGUAAACCAUUUGAACUAAUAAAUCUAAAUACUGAUUGCUUGAAAAUGCCAAUAAAAUCAAUACAUAUUUUUAAAAGCCAGUCAAGGAUAAAAGAAAAGAGGGAAACUAAAAAUGAGACAUUAAGUACGAGAAAGGAGAUAAAACUACAGUGUGGAGGUGAUGUUAAAAAUUAUAUUCAGGUCUGUGCUAAUCAUUUUGGAAAUUUCAGUGAGAAAUGGGCAAUUUUCAGUGAAUAUGUUAUUGUAAAUGCUUUAAGGAGAGAGACAAAAUCUGAACAGACCCUGCAAUAAUGAAAAUGUCUAGGAGCCCUCAAGAAAUACCUGGUUUAAAUUGCAUUUCAGGUGGCUGCUUAUCAAACCUUGAAGUGUCAGGUAAUUAUGUUAUCUAAAUUGGACCAGGUGCUAGAAAAUAUGUAAGACUUCACAGGUGGCUGCUUAUGUAGCCCUUAUACCUUAAUCUGAUAAAGGUAGCAUAUAUGUAAAAAGAAAACCAGAAGGUACAGUUUAGGGAAAAUUAAAUAUUUCUAUUUGGCCAAAGUAAGAGUACAUUCAAGGGAAUUGUGAGAGGUAAGAGUGGAAAAAGAGGUUGGAGCUGUAUUUUUAUGCUGUGAUUGAAUUAUAGUGUGUGAUAAAUUGCUCUUGUUUGGGUAGAAUAACAUUUUGAAUUAAUUGGUAAUUGGAUUAAUCUUAACUUUAAAAAAAAUUAAUCUAAGAGUGGUAUAAAGGAUAGAUUACAGAAUGGAUAAAGGGUGAUAAAUCAGUUGGCUAUGGCGGAAUUGCAGGAAGAAACUGAAAUAGGCCACAGAAAACUGAAACUGACAUUUUGAGUAGUAUUUUGGAAUCAAGAUCUGGAUUUUGGCAGCUGAGUAGAUGCAUAGGAAUCAAAGAUGAGUAUACUAAAUGAACUUAAUCUAUGAUUUGUCUCAUUUUAUUGUGUACCAUUAGUGUGUAUCCAUGUAUGUAUGUGCCAGGUAGUUAAUAUGCUGACUGUGUCUGUUAGCUCCCCUCUGCUGCCUGGACCUUUGCCACAGUGCUAGAGUUCCCUCACUUCUCUUUUCUAUAACCCUGUGAUAUUACUGCUGUCUCUCAACUGUGUUUCCUUCCUCAAGCAGAAAGAAGAUGGCAGGAUCAUAUAGUAGUUGACUAGAAGCUGUGGAGUUUGAGUGCUGGGAUUAUAUCUAGUUCCAUUACUUAUGAAGAUAUAUGACCUUACCUCAUUAUAAAAUGGUUUGCCAAUCGUACCUACCCUACAUGGUUUUAUGAGUAUUAAAUUAUGUAUUUCUAAAGAGAUUUAGAACAAUACAAAGAAUAUGGUAUGGGCUCAGUAAGUGGUGGUGGUGUUAGUUAUUAGAAGGCCAUCAAGUGCUGGAGAAAAUAGUGAAUAUCUAUUGAUGGAAAGAAGGGGGUUUUCCAAGUUAAAAAGCUUCAGUUUUUGGAAAUGCGUGUUGUAAGUAUUUCUGAGAUUACCAGGUAGAAAUUCCAGCCAGAUGUUGGAAUUCUGCACUGGCAGUUGGGAAUAAAGUCAUGUUGAAGGAGAUAAGUUUUGGAGUUAUUGUGUAAAAUUGGUAAAGCACUGGAAUAGAUUGGAUUGACAGAGGGGAGACUCUUUUGAGAUAGGCCUAUAUUUAGGGACAAGAGAAGAGACAACCAAUAAGGGUUGAAAGAAACCUUAAGAGAGUAAGUCCUAUGACAGAAGCAGGGAAGUUUCAGAAUGGAUGCAGAAAGAUCAGCCAGGGUCUUCCUGUUCUCCAUCGUGGUGCGGCAUCAAGGUGAAAAGGAUAACACCAUGCAGGAACUUUGCAUCUGCAGGCUCUGCUUCAACAUCUGUUUAGGAGAAAGUGGAGACAGAUUGACCUGAGUAACUAAGGUGUUGGAGCAGCUUACAGGUCAGACCUGGUGUUUUCCAAAGCUAGAUAAUACUGUUAGCCCUUUUGGCAAUAGAAGAAAUUAAAAGACUGUUGUCUGCUGCACAGUUCGAGGGGCCAAGGCAGAUGAAAUCUUGGAGAAUGGUCUAAAGAUGCAUGAGUGUGAGUUAAGAAAAAAUACCUUCUCAGAUACUGGAAACUUUGGUUUUGGGACCCAGGAACACAUUGAUCUAGGUAUCAAAUAUGACCCAAGCAUUGGUGUCUACAGCCUGGACUUCUGUGAGGUGCUGGAAAAGCCACGUUUCAUCAUGGCAGGUAAGGAGUGCAGGACAGGCUGCAGUGGUGCCAAAUAGAAUCAGCAAAGAGUAGGCCGUGCACUGGUUUCAGCAAAAGUAUGAUGGGAUCAUCCUUCCUGGCAAAUAAAUUCUCAUUUCUACCCAUAAGGCCAAUAAAAAGUUUUCAGUGAAAUGUUUAAAAAAAAAGAUCAGCCAGCAGCCAGUAGGGUAGUUUGUUGAGAAAGCACUAAUGACCAUUAAGAAAUCAGCCUCGACUGGGCAUGGUGGCUCAUGGCUGUAAUCGUAACACUUUAGGAGGCCAAGGCAGAUUUCUUGAGUCCAGGAGUUGAGACCAGCCUGGGCAA
Non-coding RNA from Chlorocebus sabaeus (green monkey), 6528 nucleotides. NCBI's taxonomy places the organism in Eukaryota, Metazoa, Chordata, Mammalia, Primates, Cercopithecidae. The record is from RefSeq and is a predicted model, not a curated record.